GCGGGUGUGGCGGAAUCGGCAGACGCGCUAGAUUCAGGUUCUAGUGGUAGUAAUACCGUAUGGGUUCAAGUCCCUUCACCCGCACCA
Molecule: transfer RNA, 87 nt
Filed under: Bacillus sp. FJAT-29953
Lineage: Bacteria; Bacillati; Bacillota; Bacilli; Caryophanales; Bacillaceae
Also listed under: 1 other name
Description: tRNA-Leu
Rfam family: tRNA
About the family: Transfer RNA (tRNA) molecules are approximately 80 nucleotides in length. Their secondary structure includes four short double-helical elements and three loops (D, anti-codon, and T loops).
Source: RNAcentral